UGCGGCAGUAAUACGCGCAUUGGCAAGCAACUUGGUGCCAACCAAUUUCCAGUAUUUGUACGAAAUGCCUCCAGCCCUUGUUGCCACAUUUGUACUUGCGAAUAUUGUUAUAUGUAAUGUGCGGGCACAGGAACCUCCGCUAGACAGCGACUCAAACUGCAGUAAGACGGGCGAUUCCAAUUACGUUUACACAUCUUGCUCCUUUACGUGUGAAGGUGACGAAGUAAUAUCUUUGCAAAACAAUGAACCAUGCACCCUGACGAAUGAAAAAGUCGCAUCAUCGAAUAAAAAGCGCAGCGGACCCACUGGACAGUGUGUGCUUGGGAAAUGUGUCCUAAAUGGAGUCUAAUGAAAAUUCGAGUCUAACCGCCGACAGUAUACUGAUAGUGACAGUGAUGGCAAUAACGGCGCUGAUAAGCUAUUUUCAUUCCUGGAUAAUUGCUGUAUCGAGGUCAGCGACUGCUAAUUCGGAGUUUCACGAUUCUUAAUAAUAAAAUGAACUUUAAGUA
Dermacentor albipictus is the source of this 509-nucleotide long non-coding RNA. RefSeq lists it as uncharacterized. Lineage: Eukaryota; Metazoa; Arthropoda; Arachnida; Ixodida; Ixodidae. The record is from RefSeq and is a predicted model, not a curated record.